Non-coding RNA from Mycena polygramma, 100 nucleotides. The record is from the annotation of a GenBank genome assembly. Lineage: Eukaryota; Fungi; Basidiomycota; Agaricomycetes; Agaricales; Mycenaceae.
GUCUAGGUAGUAUAGUGGUUAGUAUGCUCGCUUGUGGCAACUUCUUCACUGGAGCAUUACCAGCUCGCGAUUGACGUCAGUUCGAUUCUGGCCCUGGACA